CCUAGUGGCGAACGGGUGAGUAACGCGUUGGUGACCUGCCCCAAAGUGUGGGAUAACAGUCCGAAAGGAUUGCUAAUACCGCAUGUGGUCAUUGGAUUUAGAAACCGAUGACUAAAGGAGUAAUCCGCUUUGGGAGGGACCUGCGUCCCAUCAGCUAGUUGGUGAGGUAAUGGCUCACCAGGGCUACGACGGGUAGGGGACCUGAGAGGGUGGCCCCCCACAAUGGAACUGAAACACGGUCCAU
RNAcentral lists this ribosomal RNA (244 nucleotides) under uncultured bacterium. RNAcentral describes it as "partial 16S ribosomal RNA". It matches the Rfam family "Bacterial small subunit ribosomal RNA", at positions 91 to 334 of the family's 1533-position model. The record is from RNAcentral.